AGUGAACGCUGGCGGUAGGCCUAACACAUGCAAGUCGAACGGCAGCACAGUAAGAGCUUGCUCUUACGGGUGGCGAGUGGCGGACGGGUGAGGAAUACAUCGGAAUCUACUUUUUCGUGGGGGAUAACGUAGGGAAACUCACGCUAAUACCUCAUACGACCUACGGGUGAAAGCAGGGGAUCUUCGGACCUUGCGCGAUCGAAUGAGCCGAUGUCGGAUUAGCUAGUUGGCGGGGUAAAGGCCCACCAAGGCGACGAUCCGUAGCUGGUCUGAGAGGAUGAUGAGCCACACUGGAACUGAGACACGGUCCAGACUCCUACGGGAGGCAGCAGUGGGGAAUAUUGGACAAUGGGCGCAAGCCUGAUCCAGCCAUACCGCGUGGGUGAAGAAGGCCUUCGGGUUGUAAAGCCCUUUUGUUGGGAAAGAAAAGCAGCAGGUUAAUACCCCGCUGUUCUGACGGUACCCAAAGAAUAAGCACCGGCUAACUUCGUG
RNAcentral lists this ribosomal RNA (492 nucleotides) under uncultured bacterium. RNAcentral describes it as "partial 16S ribosomal RNA". It matches the Rfam family "Bacterial small subunit ribosomal RNA", at positions 29 to 507 of the family's 1533-position model. The record is from RNAcentral.